CCCAAAAUCCAUGUCUUCCCACCAUUGAUGUUUGAAACUCGCCUCAGGUUGCACGAUUGUCAUAACCCAAGCUUCGUUCUUUUUCUUUCUCUCACAAAAAUUGCAAUCCUCCGAUGGUAUCGACCUCCCUUGGAGUUUUCGCCCCAAAAUUGGAGGCUUGGAAGCACAUACAGUCAUCUGGAGUUUUUCUCGAAUUGCAAGGGAGUUACAACUGAGAGAUAUUGGGGGCAUAAUUGUGGUAGAUUUCAUUGAUAUGGCCGAUGAAUAUAAGAGAUUAUGCUGGAGAUUAUUCAGACGAGUCAGAGAAUGAUGAUGCUGUAAAAAAGUACACCAAAAUGUUUGACUGGUCGAAGUACCCUCCUGAAGGCUAUGUUCCUAUCUCUAAGAAACAAGUCAUCGAGGACAAUCCAAAAAAACCCAAGGAUCUGGAACAAGACAAGUUAUGGUGUGUUUGAUACUUCAGGUUUUGGAUGCAAGACAGUUUCUAUCUAGAUGUGGUGGAUUGGUCUUCGCAUAAUGUAUUGGCUGUGGAUUGGGAAUCUAGGUUUAUUUGUGUAAUACUUUUAGUAGUAAGGUGAGCUCUACUGUAUAGACUUUGU
Long non-coding RNA from Rosa chinensis, 599 nucleotides. RefSeq lists it as uncharacterized. Lineage: Eukaryota; Viridiplantae; Streptophyta; Magnoliopsida; Rosales; Rosaceae. The record is from RefSeq and is a predicted model, not a curated record. The transcript is spliced from 3 exons.